UGUUUAACAGCCUGCCCACC
RNAcentral lists this non-coding RNA (20 nucleotides) under Arabidopsis thaliana (thale cress). Lineage: Eukaryota; Viridiplantae; Streptophyta; Magnoliopsida; Brassicales; Brassicaceae. The record is from RNAcentral.